RNAcentral lists this microRNA precursor (84 nucleotides) under Bombyx mori (domestic silkworm). RNAcentral describes it as "mir-2807 microRNA precursor family". It matches the Rfam family "mir-2807 microRNA precursor family". Lineage: Eukaryota; Metazoa; Arthropoda; Insecta; Lepidoptera; Bombycidae. The record is from Rfam by way of RNAcentral.
UUAACUCAUGUUUUUAUGGAGUUGGAAUGUUUGCCUACGUUUGCAGCUGGGGGCGCUGUUCAAAGUGCUUACAAAUUUGAGCUA